ACAGUCAGCUCAGAACUGGU
Molecule: small nuclear RNA, 20 nt
Filed under: Arabidopsis thaliana (thale cress)
Lineage: Eukaryota; Viridiplantae; Streptophyta; Magnoliopsida; Brassicales; Brassicaceae
Description: snRNA_18619
Source: RNAcentral